CCAUGUGGUUGCUGGGAACUGAACUUAGGAUCUCUGGAAGAGCAGCCAGUGUUUGUAACCUCUGAGCCAUCUUUCCAGCCUUCAUUCAUUUUUCUUGGGUGUUUGUGUGUGUGGUAGGGGAGAGGUGAAGAAGGGUUUUAUGUAGGCCUGACUGUCCUGAAAUUUAUAUGUACCAAGAUGACUUUAAACCUAUAUAGACUACCUGCUGCUGAGUGCUGAUAUUAAGGGUGUGUACCACCAUGCCUAGCACAACAUUUCAUUUCUUAACUUUGGCUGAGUUUCUACAAUAAUGAACACCCAUCCACACAUACCCUUGUAGUAGUAGUAUCAAACUCAAGGCCUAAAUUAAAUAUGCAAAAAAGGUGUGUAUGGGGGGGUCAUUAAGUGAUUAUGGUGAGAAAAUUGCUUUCAGCAAUAGUGAUUUAAGAAACACUAUUUCCUGAAAAUCACGCUCAAAUUAACUUGGAGGAAAGAUGUUACUGGAUUCACCCCUCCACACCCACCAAGACUUUCUAUUAGGUAGUGAGAAGUGAUAGGCGGAUCUCUGUGAGUAGAAGCCUGGUCUACAGAGCAGGUUCCAGGACAGCCAAGGUACAGAGAAACACUGUCUUAAAAAACAAAACAUAAUUAAAACACAAUCCAAUUUCAUGUUUGUGUUAGUUCUGCUAUUUUCUUAAAAUUAUACAAACAUUUUCUUAUACUUACUUGGAAGUCUUGAAAAAACAUUAACAAAACUGAUGUAAUUUUGGACUUUAGCUGUAUCUUAGUUGGUAAAGUGAUUGCCUAGCAUACACAAAGCCCUGAUUCAGUCCGAAGGACUGCAUAAAACUGGGUAAGAUGGUACAUGCCUAUGAUCCUGUUCAAGGCUAUCCUGCACAAUAUAAGACCCCCAUUCCAAAAAGCCAGCACCAGCUGGGCAUGACAGUCCUGUCACAGUGCCAAACUGGGCUACAGAGUAAGAGGUUAAAUAAAUAAUUAAAUUAAAAAUCUGACAUCCAGUCCAUUGUUAUAAAACACAGUAACAGGAUACUGAUUAAAUUUUUAGUGUUUUGUAAAGCAUAACAAGUAUGCCACUGAAAUCAUAAAAAUACAAGCAUUCCAGGUCCUUUAAGCUGGGAGCAUUCACUGACCUUAAAUGUCUCUAUAUCUUCUAUCUUUACCACAAACUCAUCACGUUCUCUGUAUUGGCCUUCUCCUCCGCUUUCUAUAUCUUCCUCAUCUGUAAAACCUUCUAUUGCAACUGUGUCCUGUCCUUUUGCAAACUGGUCUGAAGGAAGACUAUCGAGUUCGAUGGCUUUCGGGGGUUCUGUGGAGUUUGCAUUUUCCAGGGUUUUUGCAGCGGAUGAAGUCACAUGAAGGUCUUGUUUUGCACCAGCAGUGGAGGACGUGGGAGCAGCACCAGCGGUCUCAGCAGAUACACCAGGAGCUGUCACAGAAGUAGUAUCCAACGCAGAUAAGGGAGCGGGAGCGGAGAUUUUCUUAUAGAUAUCAUGGCCACACAGGCUAGGAUCUUCCUCAUCAGAAGAAAAGGAAGAUAAGUGUUCUAAAUUUUUAAGCUCAUUGUCAACUUUCUCUGAUGGACUGACCCCUCCAGUCUCAAACGCUAAUGGCACAGGUGCUGCAGGUGACAUCUUUGCAAGUGGUGGGGCACAGAAAGGAUGAGUGACUUGGGUUCCUGAUCGUCUGGUCCUACUAGGCAUUCGAACAGCAAGGGUAGAAAACUGUUGCUUGGGCCCACACUUCAGGAAGUCUAAGAAAGAAGCAAUAAAUCCUGUUUUGACUUCUGGCUGCUUUUCCUCUACUUCUUUGAUCUUCUGCCUCAUUUUUUCUUGAUGCUGGUAACCUUCAUCACAGCUUUCUGAGGAAGAGGGAGUGUACGGUAAAUACAUGUCUGCACCCCUGGGGUUCUGGCGCUUGCCUUGAGCAGACUUUUUCGGGGGUUUCUGACUACUGUCCUCUUCCUCUUUACCUUGUCCUUUUCCUUUAGCUUUUUUCUUUGGAAGGUUAAAGUAUGCUACAUCUUGCUUUUCAUCUUCAGUCUUGCCACUAGCUGCAUCCCCAGGCUGGGCCAUGGCAAGCAGUGCAAGUGUGUUCCUUCGAUGGUUCACCAACAUACUGCUGUCGUCACCUACUAGGGUAAAAUCGCUCUCUGAUGCUACACUCUCUCCACUUAUGCUCUGGCUAGCAGGAACAAACUCUUGAUUUCUGUUAUUACUCAAUGCACUUUCAACAGCAAUUUCACUAUCUUCUUUUGAUUCAUGAUUCAUAGCCAACUGUUUCUUAAACGGGUCAGCACUUUGCUCCUGCGCUUCAUGACCUGGUCCAACCAUGGCUGAAGAUGUUUUUGUGGGUAUAUUUUGACCAGGUGUUUCCAUGUGCUGUUGAUCAAGUACUGUUUUUGACUGAAGGGUGGGUACUGAUGAAAGGUUUACAGUAACCUGAUUUCCACUUAGGGAAAUGUCAUUAAUAUUCUGUGGCUUUCCUACUGUAGCUGUUAUGGAGUUAAAAUCUGAAUUCACAUGCCUGACAUCUAAUGACUGCUGAAAAUGAGAUUUAGAAUCACCACCUUCAACAGCCUGCAUGGUUUCAUUUGAAGUAGACUUGGAAAAGUCAGAAGGUGUAACCCCACAAGCUGCUGCUGUAGCUGCCAAGAUGUCAUCUACAUUUGAUAAAAUAUUUCUUUCAUCACUGAGAAGCAUUGCCUCUGGGAAGCACAUUGAUCCAAGAGAAACAAACUGAUUCUUUGAAUCAUGUUGAUUGGCUUCACUGAAAGGGCCCUUCGUUGUUAGCUGCUGCAAAGGUUUUGAAGGUUCAGAGAGGUCUAGUUUCAUAAUCUCAGAAUUUUGAGGAUGGAGCUGCUGUUGUGGAUGCUCACCAUUGCUCUGAAUGAUGUGACCAUCCAUCUGAAGAAAAGAGUGGACUACCUGUUGGGGGCUCUGAACACGCUGUACUUGUAAAGAUGCCUUUGCUUGUCCUAAGCUUGCCUGUAGAAUCCCAGCCUGCUGAAGAAUCUGUAAGUCACAGGCAGAAUCUAAAAGGACUGGUGUAUUAGGAAGAGUCUGAUGACUAUGCCCCAAAGCAUGAUUUGAAAUCUGUAUCUGAGAUGAGGCACUAAUUAUCUGGUCAUGCUGUUCCUGAACCUUGGUUUCAUGCAUCUUAUGUAUGAGAGAAUGCUGCUGGUUGAGGUCUUUUGUAUUCAACCUUAUCUGUGGCGCUGGCAUUAAAUUCGUUGCCUUCUUAA
Molecule: long non-coding RNA, 3241 nt
Organism: Arvicola amphibius (Eurasian water vole)
Lineage: Eukaryota; Metazoa; Chordata; Mammalia; Rodentia; Cricetidae
Exons: 2
Source: RefSeq, a predicted model, not a curated record